This 497-nucleotide ribosomal RNA is filed under the name uncultured bacterium. RNAcentral describes it as "partial 16S ribosomal RNA". It matches the Rfam family "Bacterial small subunit ribosomal RNA", at positions 28 to 507 of the family's 1533-position model. The record is from RNAcentral.
GAUGAACGCUGGCGGCGUGCCUAAUACAUGCAAGUCGAGCGAACAGACGAGGAGCUUGCUCCUCUGACAUUAGCGGCGGACGGGUGAGUAACACGUUGAUAACCUACCUAUAAGACUGGGAUAACUUCGGGAAACCGGAGCUAAUACCGGAUAAUAUAUUGAACCGCAUGGUUCAAUAUUGAAAGACGGUUUUGCUGUCACUUAUAGAUGGAUCCGCGCCGCAUUAGCUAGUUGGUAAGGUAACGGCUUACCAAGGCAACGAUGCGUAGCCGACCUGAGAGGGUGAUCGGCCAAACUGGAACUGAGACACGGUCCAGACUCCUACGGGAGGCAGCAGUAGGGAAGCUUCCGCAAUGGGCGAAAGCCUGACGGAGCAACGCCGCGUGAGUGAUGAAGUUCUUCGGAUCGUAAAACUCUGUUAUUAGGGAAGAACAAAUGUGUAAGUAACUAUGCACGUCUUGACGGUACCUAAUCAGAAAGCCACGGCUAACUACGUG